AUAGGUCAGAGGUGGAAGCAUGGCGACAUGUGGAGCUGACUGAUACUAAUCGAUCGAGGACUUAACCAC
Molecule: ribosomal RNA, 69 nt
Filed under: [Bacillus] enclensis
Lineage: Bacteria; Bacillati; Bacillota; Bacilli; Caryophanales; Bacillaceae
Description: Bacillus enclensis partial 23S rRNA. Bacterial LSU
Source: RNAcentral